UGUGUUUAAAAUAAUUAUUGCGAUGUGCUUUUUGUGCUUUUGGGGGUACAUGCAUGUCUGUACAUAAAAACGAGGAUAACUUUAUAACGAUGUUUACUUGACUACUUUAAACCCCCUUUUAAUCCUGCAGAAGAGCUUUGCGCAUCACAACUUUUUCAAAAUCAGACGAGCACUCAAGUCCGAUAUUUAAAACUCUCAACAUGCUUAAAAUUCAUGAUUUGGUAUCUCAGAAUUUUGCACUUUUUAUGUAUGAAUAUUACCAUCAGCUUUUGCCAUCGGUACUUCAAAACUUUUUG
Paramuricea clavata is the source of this 296-nucleotide non-coding RNA. The record is from the annotation of a GenBank genome assembly. Lineage: Eukaryota; Metazoa; Cnidaria; Anthozoa; Malacalcyonacea; Plexauridae.